GACGAACGCUGGCGGCGUGCUUAACACAUGCAAGUCGAACGGAAAGGCUCCAGCUUGCUGGAGUACUCGAGUGGCGAACGGGUGAGUAACACGUGGGUAAUCUGCCCUGCACUCUGGGAUAAGCCUGGGAAACUGGGUCUAAUACUGGAUAUGACCUUUCUCCUUAUGGGGUUUGGUGGAAAGUUUUUCGGUGUAGGAUGAGCCCGCGGCCUAUCAGCUUGUUGGUGGGGUGAUGGCCUACCAAGGCGACGACGGGUAGCCGGCCUGAGAGGGUGAUCGGCCACAUUGGGACUGAGAUACGGCCCAGACUCCUACGGGAGGCAGCAGUGGGGAAUAUUGCACAAUGGGCGGAAGCCUGAUGCAGCGACGCCGCGUGAGGGAUGACGGCCUUCGGGUUGUAAACCUCUUUCAGCAGGGACGAAGCGUAAGUGACGGUACCUGCAGAAGAAGCACCGGCUAACUAUGCG
Molecule: ribosomal RNA, 467 nt
Filed under: uncultured bacterium
Lineage: Bacteria
Description: partial 16S ribosomal RNA
Rfam family: Bacterial small subunit ribosomal RNA
Source: RNAcentral